This is a long non-coding RNA of Pseudopipra pipra, 160 nucleotides long. RefSeq lists it as uncharacterized. NCBI's taxonomy places the organism in Eukaryota, Metazoa, Chordata, Aves, Passeriformes, Pipridae. The record is from RefSeq and is a predicted model, not a curated record. The transcript is spliced from 2 exons.
CCCUCAACCAUCCCUAAUCCCUGGGGAUGGAGCAGAGCACCAACAAACAACAUUUCUCCACUGGACACAGUGUGCUGAGUUUACCCAGGAGGGGCUCAACCAAUGUAUUUCUGGAUCACGGGAAGACAGGGAAAGGCACAACAUGAGGGACGAGCCCGGC